Molecule: non-coding RNA, 30 nt
Filed under: Rattus norvegicus (Norway rat)
Lineage: Eukaryota; Metazoa; Chordata; Mammalia; Rodentia; Muridae
Source: RNAcentral
UGUUCUAGAACCUACCUCAAGUCCCUCCAA